GUGAGGAAUAUUGGUCAAUGGGCGAGAGCCUGAACCAGCCAAGUCGCGUGAAGGAAGAAGGUUCUAUGGUUCGUAAACUUCUUUUGCAGGGGAAUAAAGUGCAGGACGUGUCCUGUUUUGUAUGUACCCUGAGAAUAAGGAUCGGCUAACUCCGUGCCAGCAGCCGCGGUAAUACGGAGGAUCCGAGCGUUAUCCGGAUUUAUUGGGUUUAAAGGGUGCGUAGGUGGUUUGAUAAGUCAGCGGUGAAAGUUUGCAGCUUAACUGUAAAAAUGCCGUUGAAACUGUCGGACUUGAGUGUAAAUGAGGUAGGCGGAAUGCGUGGUGUAGCGGUGAAAUGCAUAGAUAUCACGCAGAACUCCGAUUGCGAAGGCAGCUUACUAAACCACUACUGACGCUCAUGCACGAAGGCGUGGGGAUCAAACAGGAUUAGAAACCCCUGUAGUCC
RNAcentral lists this ribosomal RNA (445 nucleotides) under uncultured bacterium. RNAcentral describes it as "partial 16S ribosomal RNA". It matches the Rfam family "Bacterial small subunit ribosomal RNA", at positions 354 to 796 of the family's 1533-position model. The record is from RNAcentral.